This 160-nucleotide unclassified non-coding RNA is filed under the name soil metagenome. RNAcentral's name for it is "partial internal transcribed spacer 1". The record is from RNAcentral.
CAGAGUUGCAAGACUCCCUAAACCAUUGUGAACCUACCUUCUACCGUUGCUUCGGCGGGCGGGCCCAGCGCCCCCCCCGGCCCCCCGCGGGCGCCCGCCGGAGGAUAGCCAAACUCUUGACAUUAGUGGCCUCUCUGAGUAUUCUUUACUGAAUAAGUCA